GAAAGUCAGACCUGCCCGGUGAAUUUAUUUAAACGGCCGCGGUAUUCUGACCGUGCAAAGGUAGCAUAAUCAGUUGUCUUAUAAUUGAAGACUGGAAUGAAUGGUUAAACGAAAUUAAAGCUGUUUCAUUUGUAUUUAUUAGAAAUUAGCUUUUAAAUGAAGAGAUUUAAAUUUGAUUAAGGGACAAGAAGACCCUAUUGAGCUUUAAAUAAUUUAAAGGGUUAAAGUUAUUAUAAAGAUCUAUGGUCUUUAGUAUUUUUUUAGUUGGGGCGACUAAGGAACAGAUGAAGCUUCCUUUAUUUAUUUGAUUGAUAGAUUUUUGAUCCAGGGUUGCUGAUUAAGGGAGAUAGUUACCAUAGGGAUAACAGCAUAAUCUUCUUGGAGAGUUCUUAUUAAAAAGGGGGGUUGUGACCUCGAUGUUGGACUAAAAUAUCCUAAUGGUGUAGAAGCUUUUGAGGGUUGGUCUGUUCG
Molecule: ribosomal RNA, 471 nt
Filed under: Cipangopaludina chinensis
Lineage: Eukaryota; Metazoa; Mollusca; Gastropoda; Architaenioglossa; Viviparidae
Description: partial 16S ribosomal RNA
Rfam family: Bacterial large subunit ribosomal RNA
Source: RNAcentral